RNAcentral lists this long non-coding RNA (794 nucleotides) under Homo sapiens (human). RNAcentral describes it as "HSALNT0147881". Lineage: Eukaryota; Metazoa; Chordata; Mammalia; Primates; Hominidae. The record is from RNAcentral.
AUACUGUUGUAUGUAUAAUUUCAGCCUUUUAAAUUUAUUGAGACUGAUAUUAUGACACAGAAAAAUGUCCAUCUUGCUGAGGGUUCCAUGAACACUGAUGAAUCUAGUGGCUAACAGUGGCUCAAUGCCAAGAUGCAAAGCUUCUGACUUGACAUCCCGUGUUUCUCAGAUGAUUUCCUUACCUUGGCAAGAUACUUCUGGAGCCCCAAACGUGGCAACCUUGGUUAAGAAGAUCCCAGCAGGGAGGAAGGGGGAUGUGGCAAAAUACUUCAACCGUGUAAGAGGGACUAUGACUAAAAAGCAAGAAGUGGUAGUGGCUGUUGGAUAGGCAGUAAUUGUGUUCACUGUUCUGCCAUUAUUCAAUGUUCUCUCCUUCUAAUAGGUAUCCAAUUUACAAUUAUAAAUAUAUUUCUGUGAUUAUUCAAUUAAUUUGUGUUUCAUCCACUAGAUUCUUAGUGUACAGAAGAAACCGUUUCUGUAAUGAAGCCUCGUUGCCUAAGUAUCUGCCGUCAUUCAGCCACUAUUGGCUGAGUGAAUGGGUGCUGAAUAAAGCCUUUUCCAAAAUGCUGAAACUGACAAUUUAUUGGUUUAUUUCAGCUGAAGUGGUGCCAAUUCAUGACAGAUUACUACUUAUGCAUGUGUGUAAAUUAGAGAAUAUUUGAGUUAUCUUGCCAUUUUUGCAGUCUACUUCUUUUGUCAUAUUGCAUAUUCAUUUUUUGUCUAAGGUCAACUGAAAUGUUUUGCAGUUUCUAACCAGAAUAGUUAUAUCAAUCAUUUCCAUUACAUUAUUCUCU